Long non-coding RNA from Oxyura jamaicensis (ruddy duck), 2828 nucleotides. RefSeq lists it as uncharacterized. The transcript has 2 exons. The record is from RefSeq and is a predicted model, not a curated record. Lineage: Eukaryota; Metazoa; Chordata; Aves; Anseriformes; Anatidae.
UCCAAAACAUUGUGUGACUCUUACCGUAGGCUUUUUCCUCUUUUUUUUUUUUUUUUUUGUUUGUUUGUUUUGAAAAUCUGUGAGUAAUAAUUUGGAAUCUUUUGAUUUUCUUCUUUGUGAGGUUUCUGCAGAUUUCUUUGGAAUCUUGUUUAUGCAAGAUUUUGUUUUGUUUUGUUUUGUUUAAGCAUUUAUGAGAUUGGUGUAUUUUUGGUUUAAUUUUAUAUUUUGCAUGCUGAUACAUUUCAGUUAUAAUUUCUCCUUAAAUACAAAUCCAUGGCUCUGCUUUUAAUGUUUUAGAGGACAAAAAAAGCUUUAAAAAGAUUUUUUUAUUUUACCUUUUUCAGCUAACAUUAUAGAUAUCUCAUGGCUUAUCUGUUAUUUCUAUAGGAAACUUUUUAAAAGUAAUUAAAAAUAUAAAAUAAGGACAGGUAACGUCUUUAGAAUGUGAAUGAUUUUUGAAUUGUUUUGAUAAGACCUAUACAUUAACUAGUGGGAAAAAAUACUGUAAAAUCGAAUAGAAAUAUGUUGAAUCUCUUCUUAAUGAUAAGAUGAUCAUGAUGUAGCAAAGCAUGCAGACUCUUAAUUGAUAUAUAAAAAAAAAUGUGUUCUUAUUGUCUUUCUGAAAAUUUCAGGUUGGAAUUGGGUUUGCUACAGUUAACUCUCUUUCGGAUAUUCAACUAGAAUUAAUAACAAGGAUGGAGAGAAACAUUUAGCUUUGUGUCUUUGGCAUUCCUAAGAGUUUUUUUGUCUCUUUCAAUAUAGCAAAUAGAGUGUAUUCUAGUUACCUGUCUGGAUUAGUUAAGGUAGCAUGUAAAAUAAAGUCUAAAAUCAAUGUGUGUGUUAUCUUUCCACAUGUAUUAGAUAUAAAGUUAAAUUCUUUUGAAUCUUAGUUAUAAUUAUUUGGGUAUAUGGUAAUGCUAAACAUUAUAAACAAUUCAUUUAACUGGGUAUCCUAUCAGUUUUUUUAAUCCAUGUGUUUUUAGUCUGUCACUUAAAUAACCCUACCUGCAAACGAGAACAGAUUUUGCUAGAAGAUUAAUCUUACUGUUUCUUCUGGGAAAAUCCAGAAGCCAUGGAAAACUCAUAUACAUGUUAUAUUUUAUAUUAAUGUAUUUUUAACAAUUCACAGGAUGCCUGUUGAUAGCAGGUGUAACUAUAGCACAGUAAUCUGUGUACUUUUAUAUGUGUACUUUUAUCUGGAAAUGUAUAUGCUGUAUCUCUGUCAGCAGGCAAAAGUUUACCUGUGUUUUCAUGGAAACGAUCAAGUGCUGCUCUUGAUUGUAAUUUGUAUCUCUGUUGACUCCAACUUGGACAAAUGCUGUUACUCCUCCAUAUUUGCAUUCUGCAAGUGCUUGAGAGACUUUUACUGCUGCCUUUACAAAAUGGAGAUCCACUGAUUUUCAUUUGUCAAGAGUGCUGCUAGAUAACUGUUGCUAGAAUGCAGUUCUCUGUGUGAUUUUGCUGGCUGCAAUGCUGACUUGAGCAACUUUUCCUUCCAGCGACUUGUUACUACUGUCUAGGCCAUCCCCUCAGUUCAGUUGAAAUACAAAGUAUAAGAUCAUUUGGGGACUUCAUGAGAAGGCACAUUUAUUUACAUAGAAUAAGAAUAAUUGAAGCAGGAAAUUAACAGUAUUUGAAUAUGGAUCAGAUCCGUAUAUGGUGGCUCAGCCGCAAAAGCUCUAUGAAAAUAUCAGCAUUACUAGCAUUAUCUGAGGGAGUGGUACAGUGUUGGGAAUGAGUGAAUGGCUGGAAGGAAAUCUUAUAUCUGCUUCUGUGGCACUAAUACCGAAAGUUGUGUCUACGUAGCCUUGUUCCAUGUGCUUUUUCAUUAUUUUGUGUGUAAUGUAUGUAAAAUGCAGCUGGAAUACUAGCAAUACAUGUAUGCAUACACACAAGCAUUUUUAAAAUACUGUAUUAAACAUUACAUUAACUUUUUAUUGUAGCCUUAACAAACGUUCUCCAAGCUUUCUCUGGCUAUAAAAUCUCUGUGUAGUUGCAAAGAUUAAAUCAGUGACAUCUUUCAGAUUCCAUGCAGUCAGUAACUGAAGUGGCAUAGCAAAUUAGAAUCAUGUCCUGAGUUGGAAGGGACCUUCAAGGAUCAUUGCAUCCAACUUCUACUUUAACAAUUAGAAUUGAUAACAUGAUUGACUGUCUUCAGUUGUAGAUUGGAAAAUCGAAGUCAGGGUGUCUUCUCACACACAGGAAGAUGCUGUGUUUGUGCCACCAUGUUUUAAAGGGAGUCCCUUACAAAGUGUAGGAAUAGAGGAAAUCUGUAAUAUGCAAGUACUGCAACUGUUUCUUAGGGAGUCUGUUUUCCAUGCAAUGAGUAUAGCUUUAAAGUUUUGAAGUAUUACAGAUUCCCACAUGUAGUUGAGGCUGAAUCUUGUAUUUGAGUAAUAUGAUAAUAAUAAAACCAAAACCCUUAGGCUUGGGGGAGGAAAAAAAAAAAGGCUGUCAUACUAAGUGAUAGCAUUCUGUGUCAGAAGGAUUGAGACACAUUAAUGGAGUAAAAAUAUGUUGGAAUAGUUCAGUGAUUCAGUUAUGUAGAUUUUUUUGUGGCUGAAAUUAACCGAUCAGAUACAGGUCUAAUUUUAGCAUAUAUCAUAACAUAGACUUCCAGUUAUUGAUAUACCUGACUGUAUUGAUCGAGAUAAAGCCAUAUUAUUAUUUUAAAGUUUUAUUCCUAGUUUGUAAAGUGGAAAAUCAGGCAAACUGGAAAUCUCAAUGUGUUAAAAUUACUUGCAGUAUAAAGCCUUAUGAAACUAAAUCAUAAAUUUAAAGUAACUUUUGAAUCUCUAUAAACGCAUUGGUUUGUAUUUUAGAGUGUG